AAUAGAUACCCUGGUAGUCCAUGCCGUAAACGUUGGGCACUAGGUGUGGGGCUCAUUCCACGAGUUCCGUGCCGCAGCUAACGCAUUAAGUGCCCCGCCUGGGGAGUACGGCCGCAAGGCUAAAACUCAAAGGAAUUGACGGGGGCCCGCACAAGCGGCGGAGCAUGCGGAUUAAUUCGAUGCAACGCGAAGAACCUUACCAAGGCUUGACAUGCACCGGAAACACUCAGAGAUGGGUGCCCCGUAAGGUCGGUGCACAGGUGGUGCAUGGUUGUCGUCAGCUCGUGUCGUGAGAUGUUGGGUUAAGUCCCGCAACGAGCGCAACCCUCGUCCUAUGUUGCCAGCGGGUUAUGCCGGGGACUCAUGGGAGACUGCCGGGGUCAACUCGGAGGAAGGUGGGGAUGACGUCAAAUCAUCAUGCCCCUUAUGUCUUGGGCUUCACGCAUGCUACAAUGGCCGGUACAGAGGGCUGCGAUACCGUAAGGUGGAGCGAAUCCCAAAAGCCGGUCUCAGUUCGGAUUGGGGUCUGACC
RNAcentral lists this ribosomal RNA (532 nucleotides) under uncultured bacterium. Its description in RNAcentral is "bacterial SSU rRNA". It matches the Rfam family "Bacterial small subunit ribosomal RNA", at positions 777 to 1310 of the family's 1533-position model. The record is from RNAcentral.